GACGAACGCUGGCGGCGUGCCUAAUACAUGCAAGUAGAACGCUGAAGCUUGGUGCUUGCACCGAGCGGAUGAGUUGCGAACGGGUGAGUAACGCGUAGGUAACCUGCCUGGUAGCGGGGGAUAACUAUUGGAAACGAUAGCUAAUACCGCAUAACAGUAGAUAUCGCAUGAUAGCUACUUGAAAGGUGCAAAUGCACCACUACCAGAUGGACCUGCGUUGUAUUAGCUAGUUGGUGAGGUAACGGCUCACCAAGGCAACGAUACAUAGCCGACCUGAGAGGGUGAUCGGCCACACUGGGACUGAGACACGGCCCAGACUCCUACGGGAGGCAGCAGUAGGGAUUCUUCGGCAAUGGACGGAAGUCUGACCGAGCAACGCCGCGUGAGUGAAGAAGGUUUUCGGAUCGUAAAGCUCUGUUGUAAGAGAAGAACGAGUGUGAGAGUGGAAAGUUCACACUGUGACGGUAUCUUACCAGAAAGGGACGGCUAACUACGUG
This 497-nucleotide ribosomal RNA is filed under the name uncultured bacterium. RNAcentral's name for it is "partial 16S ribosomal RNA". It matches the Rfam family "Bacterial small subunit ribosomal RNA", at positions 28 to 507 of the family's 1533-position model. The record is from RNAcentral.